GACGAACGCUGGCGGCGUGCUUAACACAUGCAAGUCGGACGAUGAAGCCGGAGCUUGCUCCGGUGGAUUAGUGGCGAACGGGUGAGUAACACGUGAGCAAUCUGCCCUUGACUCUGGGAUAACUGCGGGAAACUGUAGCUAAUACCGGAUACGACACCUUGGGGCAUCCCAGGGUGUGGAAAGAAUUUCGGUCAAGGAUGAGCUCGCGGCCUAUCAGCUAGUUGGUGAGGUAAUGGCUCACCAAGGCGACGACGGGUAGCCGGCCUGAGAGGGUGACCGGCCACAAUGGAACUGAGACACGGUCCAGACUCCUACGGGAGGCAGCAGUGGGGAAUAUUGCACAAUGGGCGAAAGCCUGAUGCAGCAACGCCGCGUGAGGGAUGAAGGCCUUCGAGUUGUAAACCUCUUUUAGCAGGAAAGAAGCGAAAGUGACGGUACCUGCAGAAAAAGCACCGGCUAACUACGUGCCAGCCGCCGCAGUAA
This 483-nucleotide ribosomal RNA is filed under the name uncultured bacterium. Its description in RNAcentral is "partial 16S ribosomal RNA". It matches the Rfam family "Bacterial small subunit ribosomal RNA", at positions 28 to 523 of the family's 1533-position model. The record is from RNAcentral.